This is a long non-coding RNA of Thrips palmi, 750 nucleotides long. RefSeq lists it as uncharacterized. The record is from RefSeq and is a predicted model, not a curated record. NCBI's taxonomy places the organism in Eukaryota, Metazoa, Arthropoda, Insecta, Thysanoptera, Thripidae. The transcript has 4 exons.
GCGAAUGCUUUCGUUAGUUGUUCAUGAAAGUGCAUGUUGUUUGAUAGACUUUCACCUCCCCUUCCAAGCAAAUAUAUUUGCUAUUUCUAGUUUAACGAAGUCUUCUCUCGCCUCGCCUUUUCGUAGUUGAAGCUGUUGCCGCCUGGGAAUACUCCCUCACGUCAUGCUUGGCAAUUGAUUUAAACCUUACCCUUGAAAUGUUCAAUGGAAUAUUCAACAGGAUAGGAGCCAGAGACUUCAGGAAAAUUUUUCUUCCCACCAAUUAUUGCCAAGCUCUCUGCAGUUGCGGAUUUGUCAACAUCUCCCUGGUCUCCUGAACUGCGCAUUCAUUUAUCUCACCACUCCACAUUGACAACUUCGCUACUGUCUGUUGCUAUCGAGUAUCUGCAGCUGCCGCAGGCCAAUAAUCUAGGACUGCAUAUGGAUGUCUCACAUCAUUCAGCUAUUGCAAAGAUGCAGUAAUCCAAGCAAGGAGUAUGAGAUAAGCACGCAAGAGAACUGAAUCGCUGUCCUGGCCUCACAUAGAACAGUUACUAUGACAUCCACUUUCUGGCUGUUCUUGAAAUAGUUACAAUUUCCUAUGAUUUAUUCAUCUCAGUUGGAUGAGUGUGAUUGGCGACUCAUCAUGACUCCUAAAUGGUAUGAUUGUUUGUUUUGUCUGAUUCGGCAUGAGGAGUGUCAUCGUGUUUGUUGCUGUAAACUCACUACAGUAGAAUGAAGUCAGCCUUAGAAUUGAAUGUGUAAAACUGC